Molecule: long non-coding RNA, 817 nt
Filed under: Heterocephalus glaber (naked mole-rat)
Lineage: Eukaryota; Metazoa; Chordata; Mammalia; Rodentia; Bathyergidae
Description: lncRNA (ENSHGLG00000033309.1)
Source: RNAcentral
CAUAGACUGAUGUCUCUGAAAGCAUGAACCAAAAUCAAUCUUCCUUUAAUUUGUUAUUAUCAAGUGUUUUGUCACAAUGAAAAAAACCCGACUAACACAAUGCUCUUAUGAAAAAAAAAAAGGUCUGUGAGAUCUUGUUUGCCCUUUUUCCUUUGUGAGGACACAGCUAGAGGACAAAAUCUUUAAAACACAGAGCAAGUUCUCCCCAGAUACCAAAUCUACCAGCAACUUAACCUUGACUUCCAACCCUCCAGAACUAUGCCUCUGGCUGUUAACCAUGACAACAAAAGCAACAUGAAACAGUGUAUGGCCAAAUCCUAGAAAAAAGUCAGGACUUCAUGACACAGUGUUCACAGCACUGGAGGGAAUUCAGACUCCAAGGCAAUAAAGACAAUACCACAGGGACCGUCAUCUGCCUCGCAAGCACAAAGGAAGCAACCCAGGCAUGAUGAAGAAAAGAAGAUAACCCCACUGUCAACUCACCAGCAAGGCCAGCAUUCAGCAGGAGUGGGAGAGGAAGGCAAAGGGGCACGCUAGGAAACAGUGAACUUUGGACCCAGAUAGACAAAAAUUUGAGCCAACUUCACCUCAUGCUUGAAGUGUCACUGGCCAUGUUGUGCAACACCCCCCUAGCUGCAUCCCUUCAGGGUAUAAGAAGAUAGCAGCUGUGCCUCCACUUACCUUAGAGGAAUAAAUGCCAAAUGACUGAAUCUGCAGCUGCUCCUGUCAGACGCUCAGCCCCGUGGACAAUAAACCUCUCCCAAGACCACCAGUCCUGUGCUCUCACGGUCACUUGCAAACUCAGCACGUUCUCCAC